AAUGAACGUUGGCGGCGUGCUUAACACAUGCAAGUCGAGCGAGAAAGCUCCUUCGGGAGCAAGUACAGCGGCGGACGGGUGAGGAACGCGUAAGAAUCUUCCCUUCAGUGAAGAAUACCCUUGAGAAAUCGAGGAUAAUACUGCAUAUUCCCUACGGGGCAAAGGUGGCUUUAUGCUGCCGCUGAAGGAUGAGCUUGCGUGCUAUUAGCUAGUUGGUGAGGUAAAGGCUCACCAAGGCGAUGAUGGCCAGCCGGCCUGAGAGGGUGUACGGCCACAUUGGGACUGAGAUACGGCCCAGACUCCUACGGGAGGCAGCAGUGAGGAAUAUUGCGCAAUGGGCGAAAGCCUGACGCAGCGACGCCGCGUGGAGGAUGACGGUCUUCGGAUUGUAAACUCCUGUUAAGCGGGAAGAAAGACCAGUCUCUAAUACAGAUUGGAUAUGACGGUACCGCUAGAGAAAGCACCGGCUAACUUCGUGCC
This 480-nucleotide ribosomal RNA is filed under the name uncultured bacterium. RNAcentral describes it as "bacterial SSU rRNA". It matches the Rfam family "Bacterial small subunit ribosomal RNA", at positions 29 to 509 of the family's 1533-position model. The record is from RNAcentral.